AUUUAUAUAGUUUAACUAAAACCUUACAUUUUCAUUGUAAAAAUAAAAUAAUAAUUUUUAUAAAUA
Molecule: transfer RNA, 66 nt
Filed under: Philonthus lomatus
Lineage: Eukaryota; Metazoa; Arthropoda; Insecta; Coleoptera; Staphylinidae
Description: tRNA-Glu
Source: RNAcentral